GAUGAACGCUGGCGGCGUGCCUAACACAUGCAAGUCGAGCGGCAGCGAGGGGUGCUUGCACCCUGUCGGCGAGCGGCGGACGGCUGAGUAACGCGUGGGAACGUGCCCCAAAGUGAGGAAUAACUGCCCGAAAGGGUAGCUAAUACCGCAUAUUAUCUUCGGAUCAAAGGAUUUAUCCGCUUUGGGAGCGGCUCGCGUCGGAUUAGGUAGUUGGUGAGGUAAUGGCUCACCAAGCCGACGAUCCGUAGCUGGUCUGAGAGGAUGACCAGCCAGACUGGAACUGAGACACGGUCCAGACUCCUACGGGAGGCAGCAGUGAGGAAUCUUCCACAAUGGGCGAAAGCCUGAUGGAGCAACGCCGCGUGCAGGACGGAGGCCUUCGGGUUGUAAACUGCUUUUAUAAGUGAGGAAUAUGACGGUAACUUAUGAAUAAGGAUCGGCUAACUACGUG
This 451-nucleotide ribosomal RNA is filed under the name uncultured bacterium. RNAcentral's name for it is "partial 16S ribosomal RNA". It matches the Rfam family "Bacterial small subunit ribosomal RNA", at positions 28 to 507 of the family's 1533-position model. The record is from RNAcentral.